RNAcentral lists this ribosomal RNA (667 nucleotides) under Microbacterium maritypicum. RNAcentral describes it as "bacterial SSU rRNA". It matches the Rfam family "Bacterial small subunit ribosomal RNA", at positions 137 to 817 of the family's 1533-position model. The record is from RNAcentral. Lineage: Bacteria; Bacillati; Actinomycetota; Actinomycetes; Micrococcales; Microbacteriaceae.
UCUGGGAUAAGCGCUGGAAACGGCGUCUAAUACUGGAUACGAGUAGCGACCGCAUGGUCAGUUACUGGAAAGAUUUAUUGGUUGGGGAUGGGCUCGCGGCCUAUCAGCUUGUUGGUGAGGUAAUGGCUCACCAAGGCGUCGACGGGUAGCCGGCCUGAGAGGGUGACCGGCCACACUGGGACUGAGACACGGCCCAGACUCCUACGGGAGGCAGCAGUGGGGAAUAUUGCACAAUGGGCGCAAGCCUGAUGCAGCAACGCCGCGUGAGGGAUGACGGCCUUCGGGUUGUAAACCUCUUUUAGCAGGGAAGAAGCGAAAGUGACGGUACCUGCAGAAAAAGCGCCGGCUAACUACGUGCCAGCAGCCGCGGUAAUACGUAGGGCGCAAGCGUUAUCCGGAAUUAUUGGGCGUAAAGAGCUCGUAGGCGGUUUGUCGCGUCUGCUGUGAAAUCCGGAGGCUCAACCUCCGGCCUGCAGUGGGUACGGGCAGACUAGAGUGCGGUAGGGGAGAUUGGAAUUCCUGGUGUAGCGGUGGAAUGCGCAGAUAUCAGGAGGAACACCGAUGGCGAAGGCAGAUCUCUGGGCCGUAACUGACGCUGAGGAGCGAAAGGGUGGGGAGCAAACAGGCUUAGAUACCCUGGUAGUCCACCCCGUAAACGUUGGGAACU